CGCUGGCGGCGUGCCUAAUACAUGCAAGUCGAACGCAGUAGCAAUACUGAGUGGCGCACGGGUGAGUAACACGUGGAUAAUCUCCCAUUGAGUGGGGAAUAACCUUUCGAAAGAAGGGCUAAUACCGCAUAAGACCACAGGAUCUUCGGAUCUAGGGGUCAAAGGGGGGCGUAAGCCUCUCGCUUAAUGAUGAGUCCGCGCCCGAUUAGCUAGUUGGUGAGGUAAUGGCUCACCAAGGCAUUUAUCGGUAGCUGGUCUGAGAGGAUGACCAGUCACACUGGAACUGAGACACGGUCCAGACUCCUACGGGAGGCAGCAGUAGGGAAUAUUGCGCAAUGGGCGAAAGCCUGACGCAGCGACGCCGCGUGAGUGAUGAAGGCCUUCGGGUCGUAAAGCUCUGUUGUACGGGAAGAAGUUUGCAGUGCUAAUACCAUUGUAAAUUGACGGUACCGUAUAAGAAAGGACCGGCUAACUUCGUGCCAGCAGCCGCGGUAAG
Molecule: ribosomal RNA, 496 nt
Filed under: uncultured bacterium
Lineage: Bacteria
Description: bacterial SSU rRNA
Rfam family: Bacterial small subunit ribosomal RNA
Source: RNAcentral